This is a small nucleolar RNA of Suricata suricatta (meerkat), 149 nucleotides long. The record is from Ensembl. Lineage: Eukaryota; Metazoa; Chordata; Mammalia; Carnivora; Herpestidae.
AAUGCACAUUGUUAAACUUGGAGUUGAGGCCACUGGAUGACCAAAGAAUUGACAAGUGUUAAGUAGUGCGCAUCAUGGAAAGCAGGUCUUUCGCUAACACCACAGGUCUCUGACCCAAUAAGUGGAAUUUGAUAGUAAUCUUUACAGGU